UACAGAGGGUGCGAGCGUUAAUCGGAAUUACUGGGCGUAAAGCGUGUGUAGACGGUUAUUUAAGUCGGAUGUGAAAGCCCCGGGCUCAACCUGGGAAUUGCAUUCGAGACUGAAUAGCUAGGGUACGGUAGAGGGAAGCGGAAUUUCCGGUGUAGCGGUGAAAUGCGUAGAUAUCGGAAGGAACAUCAGUGGCGAAAGCGGCUUCCUGGACCAGUACCGACGUUCAGGCACGAAAGCGUGGGGAGCAAACAGG
RNAcentral lists this ribosomal RNA (253 nucleotides) under uncultured bacterium. RNAcentral's name for it is "partial 16S ribosomal RNA". It matches the Rfam family "Bacterial small subunit ribosomal RNA", at positions 524 to 776 of the family's 1533-position model. The record is from RNAcentral.